RNAcentral lists this ribosomal RNA (894 nucleotides) under uncultured archaeon. RNAcentral's name for it is "bacterial SSU rRNA". It matches the Rfam family "Archaeal small subunit ribosomal RNA", at positions 23 to 922 of the family's 1478-position model. The record is from RNAcentral.
GUCACUGCUAUUGGGAUUCGACUAAGCCAUGCGAGUCGAGAGGGUUCGGCCCUCGGCUGACGGCUCAGUAACACGUGGAUAAUCUGCCCUUAGGUGGAGGAUACCCUCGGGAAACUGAGAAUAAUACUCCAUAGGCCUAGGAUGCUGGAAUGCAUCUAGGCUCAAAGUUCCGGCGCCUAAGGAUGAGUCUGCGGACUAUCAGGUUGUAGUCAGGGUAAUGACCUGACUAGCCUACGACGGAUAUGGGUUGUGAGAGCAAUAACCCAGAGAUGAUAUCUGAGACACGAUAUCAGGCCCUACGGGGCGCAGCAGGCGCGAAAACUUCACACUGUGCGAAAGCGCGAUGAGGGAAUCCCAAGUGCUUGCUCGUAAGAGUAAGCUGUUUUUAUGUUUAAAACGCAUAGAGAGUAAGAGCUGGGUAAGACGGGUGCCAGCCGCCGCGGUAAUACCUGCAGCUCGAGUGGUGGCCGCUAUUAUUGGGCCUAAAACGUCCGUAGCCGGUUUAAUAAAUGCCUGGGUAAAUCGUGUAGCUCAACUAUACGAAUUCCGGGUAGACUGUUAAACUUGGGACCGGGAGAGGCUAGAGGUACUCCUGGGGUAGAGGUGAAAUUCUGUAAUCCUAGGGGGACCACCAGUGGCGAAGGCGUCUAGCUAGAACGGGUCUGACGGUGAGGGACGAAGCCCUGGGGCGCAAACCGGAUUAGAUACCCGGGUAGUCCAGGGUGUAAACGCUGCUUGCUUGAUGUUAGUCGGGCUCCGAGCCCGAUUAGUGUCGGAGAGAAGUUGUUAAGCAAGCUGCCUGGGAAGUACGGCCGCAAGACUGAAACUUAAAGGAAUUGGCGGGGGAGCACAGCAACGGGUGGAGCGUGCGGUUUAAUUGGAGUCAACGCCGGA